Molecule: transfer RNA, 69 nt
Filed under: Blepsias cirrhosus (silverspotted sculpin)
Lineage: Eukaryota; Metazoa; Chordata; Actinopteri; Perciformes; Agonidae
Description: tRNA-Arg
Rfam family: tRNA
About the family: Transfer RNA (tRNA) molecules are approximately 80 nucleotides in length.
Source: RNAcentral
AGUCAAUUAGUUUAAGAAAAACCUUUGAUUUCGGCUCAAAAACUUGUGGUUAAAGUCCAUAAUUGUCUA